GACGAACGCUGGCGGCGUGCUUAACACAUGCAAGUCGUACGGUAAGGCCCUUUCGGGGGUACACGAGUGGCGAACGGGUGAGUAACACGUGAGUAACCUGCCCACAACUUUGGGAUAACGCUAGGAAACUGGUGCUAAUACUGGCUAUGUGCUCCUGCUGCAUGGUGGGGGUUGGAAAGCUCCGGCGGUUGUGGAUGGACUCGCGGCCUAUCAGCUUGUUGGUGGGGUAGUGGCCUACCAAGGCGGCGACGGGUAGCCGGCCUGAGAGGGUGACCGGCCACAUUGGGACUGAGAGACGGCCCAGACUCCGACGGGAGGCAGCAGUGGGGAAUAUUGCACAAUGGGCGCAAGCCUGAUGCAGCAACGCCGCGUGCGGGAUGACGGCCUUCGGGUUGUAAACCGCUUUCAGCAGGGACGAAGCUUUUUGUGACGGUACCUGCAGAAGAAGCACCGGCUAACUACGUG
RNAcentral lists this ribosomal RNA (465 nucleotides) under uncultured bacterium. RNAcentral's name for it is "partial 16S ribosomal RNA". It matches the Rfam family "Bacterial small subunit ribosomal RNA", at positions 28 to 507 of the family's 1533-position model. The record is from RNAcentral.